Molecule: ribosomal RNA, 2905 nt
Filed under: Salmonella enterica subsp. arizonae
Lineage: Bacteria; Pseudomonadati; Pseudomonadota; Gammaproteobacteria; Enterobacterales; Enterobacteriaceae
Description: 23S ribosomal RNA
Rfam family: Bacterial large subunit ribosomal RNA
Source: RNAcentral
GGUUAAGCGACCAAGCGUACACGGUGGAUGCCCUGGCAGUCAGAGGCGAUGAAGGACGUGCUAAUCUGCGAAAAGCGCCGGUAAGGUGAUAUGAACCGUUAUAACCGGCGAUGUCCGAAUGGGGAAACCCAGUGUGACUCGUCACACUAUCAUUAACUGAAUCCAUAGGUUAAUGAGGCGAACCGGGGGAACUGAAACAUCUAAGUACCCCGAGGAAAAGAAAUCAACCGAGAUUCCCCCAGUAGCGGCGAGCGAACGGGGAGGAGCCCAGAGCCUGAAUCAGCAUGUGUGUUAGUGGAAGCGUCUGGAAAGGCGCGCGAUACAGGGUGACAGCCCCGUACACAAAAGCGCAUGUGCUGUGAGCUCGAUGAGUAGGGCGGGACACGUGGUAUCCUGUCUGAAUAUGGGGGGACCAUCCUCCAAGGCUAAAUACUCCUGACUGACCGAUAGUGAACCAGUACCGUGAGGGAAAGGCGAAAAGAACCCCGGCGAGGGGAGUGAAAAAGAACCUGAAACCGUGUACGUACAAGCAGUGGGAGCACAGGUUUACCUGUGUGACUGCGUACCUUUUGUAUAAUGGGUCAGCGACUUAUAUUCUGUAGCAAGGUUAACCGAAUAGGGGAGCCGGAGGGAAACCGAGUCUUAACCGGGCGUUAAGUUGCAGGGUAUAGACCCGAAACCCGGUGAUCUAGCCAUGGGCAGGUUGAAGGUUGGGUAACACUAACUGGAGGACCGAACCGACUAAUGUUGAAAAAUUAGCGGAUGACCUGUGGCUGGGGGUGAAAGGCCAAUCAAACCGGGAGAUAGCUGGUUCUCCCCGAAAGCUAUUUAGGUAGCGCCUCGUGAAUUCAUCUCCGGGGGUAGAGCACUGUUUCGGCCAGGGGGCCAUCCCGGCUUACCAACCCGAUGCAAACUGCGAAUACCGGAGAAUGUUAUCACGGGAGACACACGGCGGGUGCUAACGUCCGUCGUGAAGAGGGAAACAACCCAGACCGCCAGCUAAGGUCCCAAAGUCAUGGUUAAGUGGGAAACGAUGUGGGAAGGCCCAGACAGCCAGGAUGUUGGCUUAGAAGCAGCCAUCAUUUAAAGAAAGCGUAAUAGCUCACUGGUCGAGUCGGCCUGCGCGGAAGAUGUAACGGGGCUAAACCAUGCACCGAAGCUGCGGCAGCGACACUAAGUGUUGUUGGGUAGGGGAGCGUUCUGUAAGCCUGCGAAGGUGUGUCGUGAGGCAUGCUGGAGGUAUCAGAAGUGCGAAUGCUGACAUAAGUAACGAUAAUGCGGGUGAAAAACCCGCACGCCGGAAGACCAAGGGUUCCUGUCCAACGUUAAUCGGGGCAGGGUGAGUCGACCCCUAAGGCGAGGCCGAAAGGCGUAGUCGAUGGGAAACGGGUUAAUAUUCCCGUACCUGGUGUUACUGCGAAGGGGGGACGGAGAAGGCUAUGUUGGCCGGGCGACGGUUGUCCCGGUUUAAGCGUGUAGGCUGGUUUUCCAGGCAAAUCCGGAAAAUCAAGGCUGAGGCGUGACGACGAGGCACUACGGUGCUGAAGCAACAAAUGCCCUGCUUCCAGGAAAAGCCUCUAAGCCUCAGGUAACAUCAGAUCGUACCCGAAACCGACACAGGUGGUCAGGUAGAGAAUACCAAGGCGCUUGAGAGAACCCGGGUGAAGGAACUAGGCAAAAUGGUGCCGUAACUUCGGGAGAAGGCACGCUGACACGUAGGUGAAGCGGUUUACCCGUGGAGCUGAAGUCAGUCGAAGAUACCAGCUGGCUGCAACUGUUUAUUAAAAACACAGCACUGUGCAAACACGAAAGUGGACGUAUACGGUGUGACGCCUGCCCGGUGCCGGAAGGUUAAUUGAUGGGGUCAGCGCAAGCGAAGCUCCUGAUCGAAGCCCCGGUAAACGGCGGCCGUAACUAUAACGGUCCUAAGGUAGCGAAAUUCCUUGUCGGGUAAGUUCCGACCUGCACGAAUGGCGUAAUGAUGGCCAGGCUGUCUCCACCCGGGACUCAGUGAAAUUGAACUCGCUGUGAAGAUGCAGUGUACCCGCGGCAAGACGGAAAGACCCCGUGAACCUUUACUAUAGCUUGACACUGAACACUGGUCCUUGAUGUGCAGGAUAGGUGGGAGGCUUUGAAGUGUGGACGCCAGUCUGCAUGGAGCCGUCCUUGAAAUACCACCCUUUAAUGGCUGGUGUUCUAACGUAGACCCGUGAACCGGGUUGCGGACAGUGUCUGGUGGGUAGUUUGACUGGGGCGGUCUCCUCCUAAAGCGUAACGGAGGAGCACGAAGGUUGGCUAAUCCUGGUCGGACAUCAGGAGGUUAGUGCAAUGGCAUAAGCCAGCUUGACUGCGAGCGUGACGGCGCGAGCAGGUGCGAAAGCAGGUCAUAGUGAUCCGGUGGUUCUGAAUGGAAGGGCCAUCGCUCAACGGAUAAAAGGUACUCCGGGGAUAACAGGCUGAUACCGCCCAAGAGUUCAUAUCGACGGCGGUGUUUGGCACCUCGAUGUCGGCUCAUCACAUCCUGGGGCUGAAGUAGGUCCCAAGGGUAUGGCUGUUCGCCAUUUAAAGUGGUACGCGAGCUGGGUUUAGAACGUCGUGAGACAGUUCGGUCCCUAUCUGCCGUGGGCGCUGGAGAACUGAGGGGGGCUGCUCCUAGUACGAGAGGACCGGAGUGGACGCAUCACUGGUGUUCGGGUUGUCAUGCCAAUGGCACUGCCCGGUAGCUAAAUGCGGAAGAGAUAAGUGCUGAAAGCAUCUAAGCACGAAACUUGCCCCGAGAUGAGUUCUCCCUGAGACUUUGAGUCUCCUGAAGGAACGUUGAAGACGACGACGUUGAUAGGCCGGGUGUGUAAGCGCAGCGAUGCGUUGAGCUAACCGGUACUAAUGAACCGUGAGGCUUAACCUU